Molecule: microRNA precursor, 96 nt
Filed under: Marmota monax (woodchuck)
Lineage: Eukaryota; Metazoa; Chordata; Mammalia; Rodentia; Sciuridae
Source: RNAcentral
AGUAAUAUUCCAUUGUAUGUGUGUUUGUGUGUGUGUGUGUGUAUAUAUAUACACACACACACACACACACACACACACACACACAUACCACAUUUU